CAGGCGGAAGGUGGGAGAACACCUGGCAAAAGUAGUAAGAUCACCAGAGGAAUCUGAUGAGAUUUUCAAAAGUUUCCAUGACAGUGAGCAUGGGGGCCACUGUGGAAUGGAAAGACUGUCGAUGCCAUUGCCCUAAAAUACUACUGGCCUGGGAUGGAAGGGGACAUCCGAAAAUGGAUAUCGGAGUGUCCGAAAUGCCAGGCCAGACGGUGCACACUGAAAGUGAAGAAGGCCUACAUCCCAAUUGAGAGCCACUGGAACUGGUAGGCAUGGACCUGAUGGGGAAACUGGCCAAAACUGACCAGGGCCAUGAGUACAUUUGUGUAGUCGUAGACUACUUUACAAAAUGGACUGAGGCCUAUGCCUUAAAAACAAAAAGUGCCCCAGAAGUUGCAGCUUGCAUUCUGG
Long non-coding RNA from Perca flavescens (yellow perch), 408 nucleotides. RefSeq lists it as uncharacterized. The transcript has 3 exons. The record is from RefSeq and is a predicted model, not a curated record. NCBI's taxonomy places the organism in Eukaryota, Metazoa, Chordata, Actinopteri, Perciformes, Percidae.